Molecule: non-coding RNA, 85 nt
Organism: Mycena metata
Lineage: Eukaryota; Fungi; Basidiomycota; Agaricomycetes; Agaricales; Mycenaceae
Source: the annotation of a GenBank genome assembly
GCCUCUAUAGAUCAAUGUUAAAUCGCCUCCGCGUGCUUUUAGUUGUACUUCGGAAGAGACGUAGGUUCGAGUCCUACUGGGGGCG